UGUUAAAAAUUUCAUUCAUUUGUACGGUUAAAAAUUAGCGCGACUGAUGAAAUAACAAGAUAUUGACAUGUAAUGUGACAUAUGUACGUCAUAUUAAUGUACAAGAAAUAGUUUUUACUAGUAGAAAUUGAUGAAAUUUUCAAAA
Molecule: microRNA precursor, 145 nt
Filed under: Gossypium arboreum
Lineage: Eukaryota; Viridiplantae; Streptophyta; Magnoliopsida; Malvales; Malvaceae
Description: MIR7502 microRNA precursor family
Rfam family: MIR7502 microRNA precursor family
Source: Rfam by way of RNAcentral